This 497-nucleotide ribosomal RNA is filed under the name uncultured bacterium. Its description in RNAcentral is "partial 16S ribosomal RNA". It matches the Rfam family "Bacterial small subunit ribosomal RNA", at positions 28 to 507 of the family's 1533-position model. The record is from RNAcentral.
GAUGAACGCUGGCGGCGUGCCUAAUACAUGCAAGUCGAGCGAACGGACGAGGAGCUUGCUCCUCUGACGUUAGCGGCGGACGGGUGAGUAACACGUGGAUAACCUACCUAUAAGACUGGGAUAACUUCGGGAAACCGGAGCUAAUACCGGAUAAUAUUUUGAACCGCAUGGUUCAAUAGUGAAAGACGGUCUUGCUGUCACUUAUAGAUGGAUCCGCGCCGCAUUAGCUAGUUGGUAAGGUAACGGCUUACCAAGGCAACGAUGCAUAGCCGACCUGAGAGGGAGAACGGCCACCCUGGUACGGAAACACGGUCACGACACCAGCGGGAGGGAGCAUAAGGGAAGCCACCGCAGUGGGGAAAAGCAUGACGGGGCAACUCAGCGUGAGUGUUGUAUGUCUUCGGAUCGUAAUACUCUGUUAUUAGAGCAGGACAAAUGUGUAAGUAACUAUGCACUGCUUGACGGUACCUAAUCAGAAUGCCAAGGCUGACUACGAU